UACGUAGGGUGCAAGCGUUAAUCGGAAUUACUGGGCGUAAAGCGUGCGCAGGCGGUUUUGCAAGCCGGAUGUGAAAUCCCCGGGCUUAACCUGGGAAUGGCAUUUGGGACUGCAAGGCUGGAGUGCGGCAGAGGGGACUGGAAUUCCUGGUGUAGCAGUGAAAUGCGUAGAUAUCAGGAGGAACACCGAUGGCGAAGGCAGGUCUCUGGGCUGACACUGACGCUCAUGCACGAAAGCGUGGGGAGCAAACAGG
This 253-nucleotide ribosomal RNA is filed under the name uncultured bacterium. RNAcentral's name for it is "partial 16S ribosomal RNA". It matches the Rfam family "Bacterial small subunit ribosomal RNA", at positions 524 to 776 of the family's 1533-position model. The record is from RNAcentral.